This 432-nucleotide ribosomal RNA is filed under the name bacterium BWS1B. RNAcentral describes it as "partial 16S ribosomal RNA". It matches the Rfam family "Bacterial small subunit ribosomal RNA", at positions 408 to 832 of the family's 1533-position model. The record is from RNAcentral.
AAGAAAGGUUUUGGGUUGUAAAACUUUUUUGUUAAAGAAGAACGUAGGUGAGAGUAACAAUUCUCCCAGUGGCGGUAUUUAACCCCAAAACCACGGGUAAAUUCGUGCCCGCACCCCCGGUAAAAAAUGGGGGUCCAGAGUUUUCUCGGUUUUUUUGGGGUAAAAAGAGAGCAGGGGGUUUUUUUAAUUUAAGGUGAAAACCCCCGGGUCUCACCCAGAAUUUCCAUUGGAAAUUGGAAACUUGGAGUCCGAAGGAGGCAGGUGAAAUUCCAGGGGUAGGGUUAAAAUGGGUAGAAUUUGGAAGAACCCCCGGGGGGAAGGCGGCUGUCUGGUCCGUAACUGACCCUGAGGCUCGAAAGCAUGGGUAGCGAACAGGAUUAGAUACCCUGGUAGUCCAUCCCGUAAACGAUGGUUUAUUAGUGUUGGGGGGCU